This 1650-nucleotide ribosomal RNA is filed under the name Triticum aestivum (bread wheat). Its description in RNAcentral is "partial small subunit ribosomal RNA". The record is from RNAcentral. Lineage: Eukaryota; Viridiplantae; Streptophyta; Magnoliopsida; Poales; Poaceae.
AUGAAAACGAAGCAUCAAUCAUGGGUGGUCCAUGGUUACAUAAGCCUUCAGGAAAACCAAGACAUUGUUGAGCUCCUCCAUGCUAAGCACAAAGGUACUUUACCAAUGGAGAUUUCGCUCACGCAUGCCUUCCUUGUAGCUUCUCUUCUCCUCCUCUUGUAUUUCCUUUCCUCUCCUCGCAAGGACCUUAAUGGACAUGGCCAUCUCAAGAGUAUCCCAAGCCCGCCCGCCCUCCCCGUCAUCGGCCACCUCCACCUCCUCAAGAAGCCGCUGCACCGCUCCCUCUCCGCGCUCGCUGCCCGCUACGGCGGUGGCCGCGACGGCGUCGGUCUCCUGAGCCUUCGGUUCGGCGCCCGGCCGGUCCUCCUCGUCUCCUCCGCGGCCAUCGCCGAGGAGUGCUUCACCGUCCACGACGUCGCGCUGGCGGAUCGCCCCGGGCUCGCGUCACGGCGGCUCCUCACGGACGAGUGCCCCAGCAUCGCCUUGUCUAACUACGGCCCUCUCUGGCGCAACCUCCGCCUCAUCGUCACCGUGCACGCGCUCUCCGCGCACCGCCUCUCACUGACGUCUGCCGUGCGUGCGACCGAGGUACGCGCCAUGGUAAAGCGGCUCUACGGGCGCGCCGGCGCCACGCCGGUUAGCGUGAGGGAGACGGCUUACGAGUUCGUGGUCAACGUGAUCAUGGCCAUGGUCUCCGGGAGGCGCAUGGCGGAGGAGGACGUGCGCUGGUUCAUGGCGUUGACGGAGGCUGGCUUAGCGGCGGCCGGAUCGGCCAACCGCCAGGACUUCCUGCCGGUGCUGCGGUUGCUGGAUUUCGGGAGGACGAGGAGAAGUCUUGCCGGCAUCGCCAAGGAGCGCCGUGACUUCGGCCAGCGGCUCAUCGACGAGUACAGGCGCCUCAACCCCCGUGGCGAUGAGACGUCGUCGGCGCCCAGGACGUUGCUCGGCGACGUGCUCCGGCAGCAGGAGCGGUCGCCGGAGUCGUACCCCGACGUGGUCAUCCGCACCCUCUGCAUGAGCAUGCUACAAGCAGGAGCGGACACAUCAUCUAGCGCGAUCGAGUGGGCGAUGGCACUUCUGCUCAAUAACCCAGACGUGUUGGCCAAGGCGAAGGCUGAGAUCGACGCCGUCGUGGGCACGUCUCGCCUGAUCCAGGAGUGUGACCUGGAAGUGCUUCCUUACCUCCGAUGCAUCAUCACCGAGACCCUCCGGCUAUACCCUCUCGCACCCAACCUCGUACCACAUGAGGCGUCGCGCGACUGCACCAUCACUAGUGGGCAAUACAUCAUUGCACGUGGAACCAUGGUCUUAGUCGACGUGUACUCCAUACAACGGGACCCUGCGUCGUGGGAUGAUCCAGACAUGUUCAUGCCAGAGAGAUUCGUGGGUGGCAAUGUUUGUGGACAAGGUGGAAAGCGAAUGAUGAUGCCGUUUGGGAUGGGCCGGCGAAAGUGCCCCGGCGAGGGACUCGCUUGGAGGACGGUGGGAGUAGCAUUGGCGGGGAUGUUGCAAUGCUUCGAGUGGGGACGGGUGGGAGAGAAGGUGGUGGACAUGAGCGAGGGUUCUGGGCUCACCAUGCACAUGUAUGUGCCGCUAGUUGCAGUGUGUCGACCUCGUCAAGAUAUGGAUGUCAUGCUCAAGAGCCUUUAG